UCAUGUGAGCCUACUUCCUUGUCAGUGUCGUCUCAUCAGAUCUUGGAAGCUAAGCAUGUCCGGGCCUGGUUAGUGCUUGGAUGGGAGACCGCUGGGAAAUAUGAGGCGCUACAGUGGA
RNAcentral lists this ribosomal RNA (118 nucleotides) under Periophthalmus magnuspinnatus. The record is from RNAcentral. Lineage: Eukaryota; Metazoa; Chordata; Actinopteri; Gobiiformes; Gobiidae.